This 392-nucleotide ribosomal RNA is filed under the name uncultured Thermonema sp. Its description in RNAcentral is "bacterial SSU rRNA". It matches the Rfam family "Bacterial small subunit ribosomal RNA", at positions 339 to 728 of the family's 1533-position model. The record is from RNAcentral. Lineage: Bacteria; Pseudomonadati; Bacteroidota; Cytophagia; Cytophagales; Thermonemataceae.
CUACGGGAGGCAGCAGUAGGGAAUAUUGGGCAAUGGGCGAAAGCCUGACCCAGCCAUGCCGCGUGGAGGAAGACGGCCCACCGGGUUGUAAACUCCUUUUGUCAGGGACGAAAGAGCGCCUGCGGGCGUGUGUUUGACGGUACCUGACGAAUAAGCACCGGCUAACUCCGUGCCAGCAGCCGCGGUAAUACGGAGGGUGCAAGCGUUAUCCGGAUUUACUGGGUUUAAAGGGUGCGUAGGCGGCCUUGUAAGUCCGUGUUGAAAGGCUACGGCUUAACCGUAGUAAGGCAUGGAUACUGCGAGGCUUGAGUACAGUGGGGGCAGAUGGAAUUGGUGGAGUAGCGGUGAAAUGCAUAGAUACCACCAGGAACACCGAUAGCGAAGGCAGUCUG